GACGAACGCUGGCGGCGCGCCUCAUACAUGCAAGUCGAACGUGAAGCCCGGAGCUUGCUCCGGGUGGAAAGUGGCGAACGGGUGAGGAACACGUGAGGAACCUGCCCCGAAGACCGGGAUAACACCGGGAAACCGGUGCUAAUACCGGAUGCCCUCAUCGGAUCUCAUGGUCCGAUGAGGAAAUGGAUUCCGCUUCGGGAUGGCCUCGCGGCCUAUCAGCUUGUUGGUGGGGUAACGGCCCACCAAGGCUUCGACGGGUAGCUGGUCUGAGAGGAUGUCCAGCCACACUGGGACUGAGACACGGCCCAGACUCCUACGGGAGGCAGCAGUAGGGAAUCUUGCGCAAUGGGCGAAAGCCUGACGCAGCGACGCCGCGUGCGGGAUGAAGGCCCUCGGGUCGUAAACCGCUUUCAGCAGGGACGAAAUUGACGGUACCUGCAGAAGAAGCCCCGGCCAACUACGUGCCAGCAGCCGCAGUAA
This 480-nucleotide ribosomal RNA is filed under the name uncultured bacterium. RNAcentral describes it as "partial 16S ribosomal RNA". It matches the Rfam family "Bacterial small subunit ribosomal RNA", at positions 28 to 523 of the family's 1533-position model. The record is from RNAcentral.